RNAcentral lists this ribosomal RNA (908 nucleotides) under Ascochyta orobi. Its description in RNAcentral is "LSU rRNA". It matches the Rfam family "Eukaryotic large subunit ribosomal RNA", at positions 38 to 964 of the family's 3401-position model. The record is from RNAcentral. Lineage: Eukaryota; Fungi; Ascomycota; Dothideomycetes; Pleosporales; Didymellaceae.
GCAUAUCAAUAAGCGGAGGAAAAGAAACCAACAGGGAUUGCCCUAGUAACGGCGAGUGAAGCGGCAACAGCUCAAAUUUGAAAUCUGGCGUCUUUGGCGUCCGAGUUGUAAUUUGCAGAGGGCGCUUUGGCAUUGGCAGCGGUCCAAGUUCCUUGGAACAGGACGUCACAGAGGGUGAGAAUCCCGUACGUGGUCGCUAGCCUUUACCGUGUAAAGCCCCUUCGACGAGUCGAGUUGUUUGGGAAUGCAGCUCUAAAUGGGAGGUAAAUUUCUUCUAAAGCUAAAUACUGGCCAGAGACCGAUAGCGCACAAGUAGAGUGAUCGAAAGAUGAAAAGCACUUUGGAAAGAGAGUUAAAAAGCACGUGAAAUUGUUGAAAGGGAAGCGCUUGCAGCCAGACUUGCCUGUAGUUGCUCAUCCGGGUUUUUACCCGGUGCACUCUUCUAUAGGCAGGCCAGCAUCAGUUUGGGCGGUUGGAUAAAGGUCUCUGUCAUGUACCUCUCUUCGGGGAGAACUUAUAGGGGAGACGACAUGCAACCAGCCUGGACUGAGGUCCGCGCAUCUGCUAGGAUGCUGGCGUAAUGGCUGUAAGCGGCCCGUCUUGAAACACGGACCAAGGAGUCUAACAUCUAUGCGAGUGUUUGGGUGUCAAGCCCGAACGCGUAAUGAAAGUGAACGGAGGUGGGAACCUUUCGGGGUGCACCAUCGACCGAUCCUGAUGUCUUCGGAUGGAUUUGAGUAAGAGCAUAGCUGUUGGGACCCGAAAGAUGGUGAACUAUGCUUGAAUAGGGUGAAGCCAGAGGAAACUCUGGUGGAGGCUCGCAGCGGUUCUGACGUGCAAAUCGAUCGUCAAAUUUGGGCAUAGGGGCGAAAGACUAAUCGAACUAUCUAGUAGCUGGUUCCUGCCGA